This 463-nucleotide long non-coding RNA is filed under the name Populus trichocarpa (black cottonwood). RNAcentral's name for it is "long non-coding RNA (PTRI_LNC004547)". Lineage: Eukaryota; Viridiplantae; Streptophyta; Magnoliopsida; Malpighiales; Salicaceae. The record is from RNAcentral.
CCCAUAUUUGUUAACGGUCGACAUUUUGCUUAAAUACUGACCUCUUCCUCUUCAACGUUCUUUGCUCAAGGGGUCGGCUAUUUGUAGAGAGGAUUUUGAGGCGAGGAGAGAGAGAGAGACAGAGAGAGAGAGAGAGGCUUUGACAGAAGGAGAACCACUCCCUUUCUCUUUUUAUCAGGUAUUUAUUACAUUUUCUUUUUCGUUUGAUCGUUUUUUAGCUCUCUCUGUUCUUGCUGGUUCAAUCAAUCAUGAACUUGCACUUGGUGUUUGAUCCUCUCGUGGGCUAUGUUAAACAAUGUCUGUUUUCUGUUCUUCUUCUCCAGGGUCUUAUAUAUUUUAGUUAGAUCCAGGUACCAAAGAUGAUGGAUUUGUUCAAGAUUAAUAACAAUUUUCUUAAAAAAUCUUGGGAUAUAUUCAUUUUUCUUCUCUUAAUAAAAGAAAACGUAGCUGAUCUAACACUGGC